Non-coding RNA from Bos taurus (domestic cattle), 72 nucleotides. The record is from Rfam. NCBI's taxonomy places the organism in Eukaryota, Metazoa, Chordata, Mammalia, Artiodactyla, Bovidae.
UCCCUGAUAGCUCAGUUGGUAAAGAAUCUGUCUGCAAUGCAGGAGACCCUGGUUAAAUUCCUGGGUUGGGAA